GUAAAGGUUCCAAGGGGUUUAGUCCAAAGUCUUCUUGGCUCCAAAACCCCAAGGAAAGUAGCAUCUCAUCCUGAACUUAAAAGGAGUGAACUCCAUGCUCGAAGUAAGAACGUCCAAAAUUGAAUCUUUUUUCAGACCAUCUUAAAAAGCAUCAAAAGAGGGGAUUAGAUUACCUCUAUAUUCUUGAGGGACGCCUACUACCAAAUCCUUGUAAACUGCGAUCAUGUGAAAUUUCUCAGAUUCUGGGCUCUAGGAUGGGCCCAAUUGUAGUUUUGC
This is a non-coding RNA of Pelobates cultripes (western spadefoot toad), 276 nucleotides long. Lineage: Eukaryota; Metazoa; Chordata; Amphibia; Anura; Pelobatidae. The record is from the annotation of a GenBank genome assembly.